GUCACUGCUAUCAGUGUUCGACUAAGCCAUGCAAGUCAAAUGUUCUUCGUGAACAUGGCGAACUGCUCAGUAACACGUGGAUAACCUGCCCUUAGGAUUGGCAUAACACCGGGAAACUGGUGAUAAUACCGAAUAGACCAUUUAUGCUGGAAUGCUUUUUGGUUCAAAGGCUUCGGCUGCCUAAGGAUGGAUCUGCGGCCUAUCAGGUAGUAGUGGGUGUAAUGUACCUACUAGCCUACGACGGGUACGGGUUGUGAGAGCAAGAGCCCGGAGAUGGAUUCUGAGACAUGAAUCCAGGCCCUACGGGGCGCAGCAGGCGCGAAAACUUUACAAUGCGGGAAACCGCGAUAAGGGGACACUGAGUGCCAGCAUAUUAUGUUGGCUGUCCACAUGUAUAAAAACCAUGUGUUAGCAAGGGCCGGGCAAGACCGGUGCCAGCCGCCGCGGUAACACCGGCGGCCCGAGUGGUGAUCACUUUUAUUGGGUCUAAAGGGUCCGUAGCCGGUUUGAUCAGUCUUCUGGGAAAUCUGACAGCUCAACUGUUAGGCUUUCAGGGGAUACUGUUAGACUUGGGACCGGGAGAGGUAAGAGGUACUACAGGGGUAGGAGUGAAAUCUUGUAAUCCCUGUGGGACCACCAGUGGCGAAGGCGUCUUACCAGAACGGGUCCGACGGUGAGGGACGAAAGCUGGGGGCACGAACCGGAUUAGAUACCCGGGUAGUCCCAGCCGUAAACGAUGCUCGCUAGGUGUCAGGGACGGUGCGACCGUUUCUGGUGCCGCAGGGAAGCCGUGAAGCGAGCCACCUGGGAAGUACGGCCGCAAGGCUGAAACUUAAAGGAAUUGGCGGGGGAGCACUACAACGGGUGGAGCCUGCGGUUUAAUUGGAUUCAACGCCGGG
RNAcentral lists this ribosomal RNA (899 nucleotides) under uncultured archaeon. Its description in RNAcentral is "bacterial SSU rRNA". It matches the Rfam family "Archaeal small subunit ribosomal RNA", at positions 23 to 922 of the family's 1478-position model. The record is from RNAcentral.